UUUCAAUAUUUAAAAAAAAAAAUUCCGUUUAAAAUCAUCGGAUAUCGUUACGUAAUCGACCGGAAAUAAACUGGUGACAAUGCAGCUUUAACAAGGGCCAGACGACUGCUGUCACCAAGAACAACAUCACAGUUAUGUCAUUCUCAGGAGUCAAGAUGUUGUCCUCAAUCAAGUAGCCUAUCUACAAGAUGUGUAAAACCUUCAUUAGAUAAUAGUAAUAAUAUCCACUUUUUAUAAUAAACACUUUUAUAAUAACCACUUUUAUGUUUAUUCUUUACUUCUUUUCAAGUAAAAUAAUGAAAAUAAUUAUAGUUUUUUUUCAGUACCUUGAGAGUAUUUUACACAGUGGUAAAUUCCAGAGAGAUCAUGGCACACACCAAGAUGAAAUCCAGUUAUUGGAUCAUCCUGUUUUGAGAACAUUUCUAGAAGAAGAGCAUGCUACCUGGACACUCAUGCUACAGGAUGUUGAGGAGAAAUACCUGAAGGCAGAACAGUCCAACCUCCCUUCUCUAUUAUCCAAGAAACGUUUGAAAACACAACCACCAAGCUUGCUGCUGAUAUUCAGUUCGGAAAUUUUCACUCGUGCAAGCUGUGGGGACUGCAUUUACGUCACCUUUUCCGAGGACGUCUAGGAACUGGUGACUAUGGCCAUUUGACAGUGGAACAUAGUGCUAUGUUGUUCCGACAGCACCGUUCUUUCGCCAAAUAUUCGAACCAGGGAUUCGAGGCUUCCCACAACAUCCACAGGGCCUUGUACUCAAGAGCCUCCAGCCAUGACCAGGCUGGUGUUAAUCAGUCAAUUUCAGUUGAAUAAAUAAUGACCCACUGGUUGUCAGAAAUGAAGCUGUUCUUGCGAUAUGAGUUUGUUAAAGCCAGCGAGUGCAUCUCCCAAGAUGUCCGAGGCCAAAAGCCCGAGAGUAACGGAGAUCAAUAAUGAGGUAGUGGUGCAAUUACUCCUGUGUUUAAAAGGUAAGAAGGCAUUCCACUUCCGUGGAUGCGGGUGAAAAAAGAAGGACGCCAACUGGUCAGCAGAAGAAAAGUCCUGGAUCCUGGUUAUGACAAAGCUACUGAACAAUAUCUAUGGAGAUGACUACCUAACGUACUCGUACACGCAGAAAGGAACAAUAAUUGAUUUUGAGUAUGACCCAAGACAGAAGUUCGCCUA
Molecule: long non-coding RNA, 1165 nt
Organism: Nematostella vectensis (starlet sea anemone)
Lineage: Eukaryota; Metazoa; Cnidaria; Anthozoa; Actiniaria; Edwardsiidae
Exons: 6
Source: RefSeq, a predicted model, not a curated record